Molecule: ribosomal RNA, 198 nt
Filed under: uncultured bacterium
Lineage: Bacteria
Description: partial 16S ribosomal RNA
Rfam family: Bacterial small subunit ribosomal RNA
Source: RNAcentral
ACGCUCGACACCUACUGGAGGCAGCAGUGGGGAAUAUUGCACAAUGGGGGAAACCCUGAUGCAGCGACGCCGCGUGAGCGAAGAAGUAUUUCGGUAUGUAAAGCUCUAUCAGCAGGGAAGAAACUGACGGUACCUGACUAAGAAGCACCGGCUAAAUACGUGCCAGGAGCCGCGGUAAUCUGAGCGGGCUGGCAAGGC